This is a long non-coding RNA of Zonotrichia leucophrys gambelii, 233 nucleotides long. RefSeq lists it as uncharacterized. The record is from RefSeq and is a predicted model, not a curated record. The transcript is spliced from 2 exons. Lineage: Eukaryota; Metazoa; Chordata; Aves; Passeriformes; Passerellidae.
UUUUGUUUGUGCUGUGAUGAAGAAGGAGUCUGUGCUGUGGGGAGCUACCCAUGACCAAUCAUGGAGAAGUGAGCAGGUGCACGAGAAGCCAGGAGGAAGCACAGCCAGGACAUCUGAUUCAAACUGACCAAAAGGAUAGUGCAUAUCCUGUAAGGCAUCACGUCCAGUCCUUAAACUGGAGGGAUUUGGCUGGGCGCCACUAAUUGCUGCUCAGGGACUGGCUGAGUGCUUGG